AAUGAACGCUGGCGGCGCGCCUAAUACAUGCAAGUCGAGCGAGAAGACGUAGCAAUACGUUUGUAAAGCGGCGAACGGGUGAGGAAUACAUGGGUAACCUACCCUCGAGUGGGGAAUAACUAGCCGAAAGGUUAGCUAAUACCGCGUACGCUCCUUGGACUUCGGUUCAGGGAGGAAAGCGAUACCGUGGGUAUCGCGCCCUUGGUUGGGCUCAUGUCCUAUCAGCUUGUUGGUGAGGUAACGGCUCACCAAGGCUUCGACGGGUAGCUGGUCUGAGAGGACGAUCAGCCACACUGGCACUGCGACACGGGCCAGACUCCUACGGGAGGCAGCAGUAAGGAAUAUUGCGCAAUGGGCGAAAGCCUGACGCAGCGACGCCGCGU
Molecule: ribosomal RNA, 383 nt
Filed under: uncultured bacterium
Lineage: Bacteria
Description: bacterial SSU rRNA
Rfam family: Bacterial small subunit ribosomal RNA
Source: RNAcentral